GGGUAGCCGAUUAGGGUUUGGUGGAGCAGAGAAGACAACGAAGAGUACCUCUGCCUCUUGCCUCCGCUAUCAUUCGUGGAUUCAAUGUUGGCUUGGUGACUCGAUCGAAGAUGGAGACCCAAUGGAUCGCCGAGCUACCGCACGCGGCCACGGACAAGCGCCCGCGGAAGAGGCCCAGGCUCGCGUGGGAUGUGCCCCCUCCGAUUCCCCCUUCCAUGGUUCCUCUGACGCUAUACUGUGGGAUGGAAGCUGCACAAAUGGCUACUAUGAACCAGCACUUGCAAUCAUUCUACUACGGUGGAGUACCUCGAUAUUGUUCUCCUCCUUGGAGGGGUGACGACAAAGAUGGUCAUUAUAUUUUUGGCAUCGGCGAGAAUCUAACACCAAGAUAUAGGAUACUGAACAAAAUGGGUGAAGGAACAUUUGGACAAGUCCUGGAAUGCUGGGACCUGGAAAAUAAAGAACCAGUGGCUAUCAAAAUUGUGCGUUCUCUCCAGAAAUAUCGUGAGGCUGCAAUGAUCGAGAUUGAUGUACUUCAAAGGCUUGCAAAAGCUGACAGAAGUGGCACUCGUUGUGUGCAAAUACGGAAUUGGUUCGACUAUCGCAACCAUAUAUGUAUAGUCUUUGAGAAACUUGGACCAAGCUUAUAUGACUUUCUUCGGAGAAACAGCUACCGCUCUUUCCCCAUCGACUUAGUCCGCGAACUUGCCGGGCAGCUUCUGGAGUCUGUUGCAUUUAUGCAUGACUUGCGGUUAAUUCAUACUGAUCUGAAGCCAGAGAAUAUUCUUCUCGUCUCCUCUGAAUAUAUAAAGGUUCCUGAUCACAAGUUUCUAUCACGAUCAGCCAAGGAUGGUUCACUUUUCAAGAAUCUGCCAAAAUCUAGUGCUAUCAAGUUAAUUGACUUUGGAAGCACGACAUUUGAACACCAGGACCACAGUUACGUAGUUUCAACAAGGCAUUAUCGUGCACCUGAGGUUAUUCUUGGACUUGGGUGGAACUAUCCCUGUGAUAUGUGGAGUGUGGGUUGUAUUCUUGUUGAGCUUUGCUCGGGUGAGGCACUCUUUCAAACUCAUGAAAAUUUGGAGCAUUUAGCUAUGAUGGAAAAGGUGUUAGGACCACUUCCACAGCACAUGAUUGUUAGAGCUAAUGUCCAUAAUAGCCAGCGUGCGGAGAAAUAUUUCAGGCAAGGUCGAGGAUUGCGAUUAGACUGGCCCGAAGGGGCAACCUCAAGGGAAAGCAUCAGAGCAGUUUGGAGAUUGCCUCGCCUUCAGAAUCUGGUUAUGCAACAUGUUGAUCACUCUGCUGGUGAUUUAAUUGAUCUUCUGCAAGGGCUUCUCCAUUAUGAUCCGGCUCAGCGUCUAAAAGCCCGAGAAGCCCUUAGACACCCCUUUUUCACCAGAGAUCUGAGAAGAUGUGGUUACUCUUUGAACUAAGGGCUUUACUCUUCUUUCUUAAGUCAAGUUUGUAAGGGAAUUGUAAAAAAUCUCAGGGUUUUUCUUCUCUUGCAGAGUUUCAGAUGAACAGGCAGCAAAUUCUGUGUACACAAUUUAGGGCACAUAUCAGACGGAAGUUUGGAUGCAAGUUCUAAAACAUGGUCAUGGCUUCGUGUUUUGUUUGUUGGGUUUAACUUUAGCUCAGUGUUCGUAGCAUCCCUCUAUUGGAUCAACCAACCAUUGGCUCAAGGUAGGGGAAAUACACUGGUUUCAAGCACAACUAUGUUGUGAUCUGGAGGCUCAAGUAAUCAUUCUAUUCUUUUUGGAGGAGUCAUCUUAUCAUAAUUGUGUUUUUUCUUUCGGUAGCAGGUAUUGAACGAUCCACUCAUUCUUCUUUUGGGGCCACCGUAUGUAUUCUCAUCUUUAAUAUGUCAAUUGAGAGUCAAUUUGAUUUGUUUUGUUUUGGGAUUGGAAUGUUAUUUCUACAAAGAACUUGUUUUCAUUCUCGUCUAACAUUUAGUGCUUGAAGGUAUUAAUUAGAAUUUGCUUUUGGUA
This is an RNA transcript of Musa acuminata AAA Group (dessert banana), 1988 nucleotides long. It is a transcript of the gene named serine/threonine-protein kinase AFC1-like, with no coding region annotated. The transcript has 13 exons. Lineage: Eukaryota; Viridiplantae; Streptophyta; Magnoliopsida; Zingiberales; Musaceae. The record is from RefSeq and is a predicted model, not a curated record.